This 402-nucleotide ribosomal RNA is filed under the name uncultured bacterium. RNAcentral describes it as "bacterial SSU rRNA". It matches the Rfam family "Bacterial small subunit ribosomal RNA", at positions 355 to 774 of the family's 1533-position model. The record is from RNAcentral.
UGGGGAAUCUUGCACAAUGGGGGCAACCCUGAUGCAGCGACGCCGCGUGAGCGAUGAAGCCCUUCGGGGCGUAAAGCUCUUGCGACCGGAACGAUAAUGACGGUACCGGGAGAAGAAGCUGCGGCUAACUACGUGCCAGCAGCCGCGGUAAUACGUAGGCAGCAAGCGUUGUUCGGAGUUACUGGGCGUAAAGAGUGCGUAGGCGGUUUUCUAAGUUCGGUGUGAAAUCUCCCGGCUUAACUGGGAGGGUGCGCCGAAGACUGGGAAGCUGGAGUGUGGGAAAGGCAGGCGGAAUUCCUGGUGUAGCGGUGAAAUGCGUAGAUAUCAGGAGGAACACCGGCGGUGUAGACGGCUUGCUAGACCAUAACUGACGCUGAGGCACGAAAGCGUGGGUAGCAAACA